CGCAUACCGUGGUAACAGAGCCUGAUUAUGCCUGAUUGAACGCUGGCGGAUGCCAUACAUGCAAGUCGAACGGCAGCACGGACUUCGAACGGCGGGCGAGAGCAGAACGGGUGAGUACGUAUCGAACGCCUAGUAGCGGGGGAUAACUACGCGAAAGCGUAGCUAAUACCGGCAUUAAUACCCUUCGGGGGAAAGCGGGGACCUUCGGGCCUCGCACUAUUAGGAGCGGCCGAUAUCGGAUUAGCUAGUUGGUGGGGUAACGGCUCACCAAGGCGACGAUCCGUAGCUGGUUUGAGAGGACGACCAGCCACGACUGGGACUGACACGGCCCAGACUGCAUGGGAGGCAGCAGUGGGGUUCUGACAAUGGGGGAAACCCCGAUCCAGCCAUCUCCGCGUGUGCGAUGAAGGCUUCGGGUUGUAAAGUGUUCUUUGGCAGGAAGAUACGGCACGGAUAAAUCGCGCAACUGACGGUACCUGCAGAAUAUACCCGGCUAACUACGUGCCAGCAGCCGCGGUAAUACGUAGGGUGCAAGCGUUAAUCGGGCCUUCACGGCGCAGGCGCAGGCGGUUCGGAAAGAAAGAUGAAAUCCUGGAGCUUAACUUUGAACCGCAUUUUUAACUACCGAGCUAGAGUGUGCCAGAGGUAUGUGGAAUUCCAUGUAGCAGUGAAAUGCGUAGAUAUGCGGAGGAACACCGAUGGCGAAGGCAGCUUCCUGGAUAAACACCGACUAUGAAUGAAAGCGUGGGGAGCAAACAGGAUUAGAGCACCUGCAGUCCACGCUCCUAAACGAUGUCAAACGACGGUUGGGCCUGGGCCUUGGCGCGCAGCUAACGCGUGAAGUUGACCGCCUGGGGAGUACGGUCGCAAGAUUAAACCCAAAGGAAUUGACGGGGACCCGCACAAGCGGUGGAUGAUGUGGAUUAAUUCGAUGCAACGCGAAAAACCUUACCUACCCUUGACAUGUCUGGAAUCCCGAAGAGAUUUGGGAGUGCUCGCAAGAGAACCGGAACACAGGUGCUGCAUGGCUGUCGUCAGUCGCAAAGCCGUGAUGUUGGGUUAAGUCCCGCAACGAGCGGCAACCCUUUAGUCAUUAGUUGCUACGAAAGGGCACUCUAAUGAGACUGCCGGUGACAAACCGGAGGAAGGUGGGGAUGACGUCAAGUCCUCAUGGCCCUUAUGGGUAGGCUUCACACGUCAUACAAUGGUCGGGACAGAGGGUCGCCAACCCGCGAGGGGGAGCCAAUCCCAGAAACCCGAUCGUAGUCCGGAUCGCAGUCUGCAACUCGGGAUUGCGUGAAGUCGGAAUCGCUAGUAAUCGCGGAUCAGCAUGUCGCGGUGAAUACGUUCCCGGGUCUUGUACACACCGCCCGUCACACCAUGGGAGUGGGUUUUACCAGAAGUAGCGGUAGGCCUAACCGUAAGGAGGGCGAUUACCACGGUAGGAUUCAUGACUGGGGUGAAGUCGUAACAAGGUAA
Molecule: ribosomal RNA, 1479 nt
Filed under: uncultured Bordetella sp.
Lineage: Bacteria; Pseudomonadati; Pseudomonadota; Betaproteobacteria; Burkholderiales; Alcaligenaceae
Description: partial 16S-23S ribosomal RNA intergenic spacer
Rfam family: Bacterial small subunit ribosomal RNA
Source: RNAcentral